Molecule: ribosomal RNA, 699 nt
Filed under: uncultured archaeon
Lineage: Archaea
Description: bacterial SSU rRNA
Rfam family: Archaeal small subunit ribosomal RNA
Source: RNAcentral
GGAUAACCUACCCUUAGGACUGGGAUAACCUUGGGAAACUGAGGCUAAUACCGGAUAGGCAAUUUUUCCUGUAAUGGUUUUUUGUUUAAAUGUUUUUUCGCCUAAGGAUGGGUCUGCGGCCGAUUAGGUAGUUGGUUAGGUAAUGGCUUACCAAGCCGUUGAUCGGUACGGGUUGUGAGAGCAAGAGCCCGGAGAUGGAACCUGAGACAAGGUUCCAGGCCCUACGGGGUGCAGCAGGCGCGAAACCUCCGCAAUGUGAGAAAUCGCGACGGGGGGAUCCCAAGUGCCAUUCUUAACGGGAUGGCUUUUCAUUAGUGUAAAGAGCUUUUGGAAUAAGAGCUGGGCAAGACCGGUGCCAGCCGCCGCGGUAACACCGGCAGCUCUAGUGGUAGCAAUUUUUAUUGGGCCUAAAGCGUCCGUAGCCGGUUUAAUAAGUCUCUGGUGAAAUCCUGUAGCUUAACUGUGGGAAUUGCUGGAGAUACUAUUAGACUUGAGACCGGGAGAGGUUAGAGGUACUCCCAGGGUAGAGGUGAAAUUCUGUAAUCCUGGGAGGACCGCCUGUUGCGAAGGCGUCUAACUGGAACGGUUCUGACGGUGAGGGACGAAAGUUAGGGGCGCGAACCGGAUUAGAUACCCGGGUAGUCCUAACUGUAAACGAUGCGGACUUGGUGUUGGGGUGGCUUUGAGCUGCUCCAGUGC